Molecule: non-coding RNA, 135 nt
Organism: Brachypodium distachyon (stiff brome)
Lineage: Eukaryota; Viridiplantae; Streptophyta; Magnoliopsida; Poales; Poaceae
Source: Rfam
CUAAUACUCCCUCCGUCCCAUAUUAAGAGUCGCAAUUUUUUUCUAGAUCCGCAUGUAUCUAGACGCGUUUUAGUGUAGAUACAUGUGUAUCUCGACAAAGUUGCGACACUUCAUAUGGGAUGGAAGGAGCACAUG